UACCGGCGGCUCGAGUGGUGGCCGAUAUUAUUGAGUCUAAAGGGUCCGUAGCCGGCUCCGUGGGUCCCCCGGGAAAUCCAGCGGCUCAACCGUUGGGCGCCCGUGGGAUACCGCGCUGCUUGGGACCGGGAGAGGUGGGAGGUACUCGGGGGGUAGGGGUGAAAUCCUGUAAUCCUCCGGGGACCACCGGUGGCGAAGGCGUCCCACCAGAACGGGUCCGACGGUGAGGGACGAAAGCUAGGGGC
RNAcentral lists this ribosomal RNA (245 nucleotides) under uncultured archaeon. RNAcentral describes it as "partial 16S ribosomal RNA". It matches the Rfam family "Archaeal small subunit ribosomal RNA", at positions 474 to 718 of the family's 1478-position model. The record is from RNAcentral.